This 428-nucleotide ribosomal RNA is filed under the name Chloroflexota bacterium. RNAcentral's name for it is "Chloroflexi bacterium partial 16S ribosomal RNA". It matches the Rfam family "Bacterial small subunit ribosomal RNA", at positions 355 to 776 of the family's 1533-position model. Lineage: Bacteria; Bacillati; Chloroflexota. The record is from RNAcentral.
UGGGGAAUAUUGCACAAUGGGCGCAAGCCUGAUGCAGCCAUGCCGCGUGUAUGAAGAAGGCCUUCGGGUUGUAAAGUACUUUCAGUCGGGAGGAAGGUGGUAAGGUUAAUAACCUUAUCAAUUGACGUUACCGACAGAAGAAGCACCGGCUAACUCCGUGCCAGCAGCCGCGGUAAUACGGAGGGUGCAAGCGUUAAUCGGAAUUACUGGGCGUAAAGCGCACGCAGGCGGUUUGUUAAGUCAGAUGUGAAAUCCCCGGGCUCAACCUGGGAACUGCAUCUGAUACUGGCAAGCUUGAGUCUCGUAGAGGGGGGUAGAAUUCCAGGUGUAGCGGUGAAAUGCGUAGAGAUCUGGAGGAAUACCGGUGGCGAAGGCGGCCCCCUGGACGAAGACUGACGCUCAGGUGCGAAAGCGUGGGAGCAAACAGG